Molecule: ribosomal RNA, 425 nt
Filed under: uncultured bacterium
Lineage: Bacteria
Description: partial 16S ribosomal RNA
Rfam family: Bacterial small subunit ribosomal RNA
Source: RNAcentral
GUGGGGAAUCUUGCGCAAUGGGCGAAAGCCUGACGCAGCCAUGCCGCGUGGAUGAUGAAGGUCUUAGGAUUGUAAAAUCCUUUCAGCGGGGACGAUAAUGACGGUACCCGCAGAAGAAGCCCCGGCUAACUUCGUGCCAGCAGCCGCGGUAAUACGAAGGGGGCUAGCGUUGCUCGGAUUUACUGGGCGUAAAGGGCGCGUAGGCGGACAGUUAAGUUGGGGGUGAAAGCCCGGGGCUCAACCUCGGAAUUGCCUUCAAUACUGGCUGUCUUGAGUGUGAGAGAGGUGUGUGGAACUCCGAGUGUAGAGGUGAAAUUCGUAGAUAUUCGGAAGAACACCAGUGGCGAAGGCGACACACUGGCUCACUACUGACGCUGAGGCGCGAAAGCGUGGGGAGCAAACAGGAUUAGAAACCCGAGUAGUCC